UGGUAAGAGAACUGAACGCCGCUGAGCCUCUUGCCGUCGCCGGAACCUCUCUCCGCCGCCGGUCUCUGUCACCACUCGCCGUGUCCCUCCUCGCUGAAGCUUAGAGAUUUAAGGAGGCAUGUUUUAUCUGAGUGUAUUAGAACACACACUGAGGUUGCCGCCUCAUCUCCUGAACCUUCCACUCAAUGAAGCAAUCAAAGGAGAGCUUGAGGGUCUCUUCGUGGAUAAGGUUAUUGCAAAUUUGGGCCUCGGCAUAUCUAUUUAUGAUAUUCGCUCCGUAGAUGACGGUUUUAUCUAUCCAAGUGAAGGUGCCUCCACAUAUAAGGUCAAGUUUAGACUGGUAGUGUUUCGCCCAUUUGUAGGAGAAGUAAUAAGUGCUAA
Molecule: unclassified non-coding RNA, 381 nt
Filed under: Hevea brasiliensis (rubber tree)
Lineage: Eukaryota; Viridiplantae; Streptophyta; Magnoliopsida; Malpighiales; Euphorbiaceae
Source: RNAcentral